This is a long non-coding RNA of Zalophus californianus (California sea lion), 712 nucleotides long. RefSeq lists it as uncharacterized. The record is from RefSeq and is a predicted model, not a curated record. NCBI's taxonomy places the organism in Eukaryota, Metazoa, Chordata, Mammalia, Carnivora, Otariidae. The transcript has 4 exons.
CUUUAGAGUACAUUUUCGAAAUACCAGUGUUCUCCUUUCAGUGUGGACUAUGAGUGGCCAAGUCAGAUCCAGAUCCAGAACCAGAAUCAAAGAAAGAAAAGAUAAUCCAGGGUCUAAAGAGCAGGAGCAGCAACCCAGUGAUGAGCAACCGAAAAAAAGGGAGGCACCACCUGAGAGUCAGGAUAUUCUGCCUGAUCAAGGGAAGGAAGUUGAAGCAGGACCUGUGGCUCAAGGACGGGACCUGCAAGCUGAUCUCCAGGAGCUGCCUCAGGCAAAGGCUGGGGGUAUAACUGAAGAUGACCCUGAUGCAAGGGGCCAAGUCUACCCUUCUUAGAGCCCAUUAAAAUGCCGGAAGCAGGUGCAGGACUACUCCAGAUUUAAACAAGGACAAGCUGAAACAUGCAGACUACUCUUAUGUGGGGUACUUCACUGUUGUAGUUCUCUCAAUAAAGUGUUACAGACGUUCCACAAAGAAUCUUUUGAAAUCUGUGUUAAACUUCUCCCAAGUAGGGGGUGCCUGGGUCUCAGUCCCUUAAGCAGCUGACUCUUGGUUUCAGCUCAGGUCAUAAUUCAUUGGUCAUGGGAUGGACCCCGAGUCUGGCUCGAUGCUCCUCGGGAAGUCAGCUUGAACGAUUCUGUCCCUCUGCUCCUGUUCCCUCCGUCCCUCCCUCCCUCCGUCCCUCCCUCUCUCUCUCUCUCUCUCUCUUAAAUU